Molecule: ribosomal RNA, 253 nt
Filed under: uncultured bacterium
Lineage: Bacteria
Description: partial 16S ribosomal RNA
Rfam family: Bacterial small subunit ribosomal RNA
Source: RNAcentral
UACGGAGGUCCCAAGCGUUGUUCGGAAUUACUGGGCGUAAAGGGAGCGCAGGCGGACAGGUCAGUCUAAAGUGGAAUCCCGGGGCUCAACCUCGGAACUGCUUCGGAUACUGCCUGUCUUGAGUUCGUGAGAGGAAAGCGGAAUUCAGGGUGUAGCGGUGAAAUGCUUAGAUAUCCUGAGGAACACCGAUGGCGAAAGCAGCUUUCUGGCGCGAUACUGACGCUGAGGCUCGAAAGCGUGGGGAGCGAACGGG